CCUACGGGAGACAGCAGUGAGGAAUAUUGGUCAAUGGACGAGAGUCUGAACCAGCCAAGUAGCGUGAAGGAUGACUGCCCUAUGGGUUGUAAACUUCUUUUAUAAAGGAAUCACACGAGGCACGUGUGCCUUUUUGCAUGUACUUUAUGAAUAAGGAUCGGCUAACUCCGUGCCAGCAGCCGCGGUAAUACGGAGGAUCCGAGCGUUAUCCGGAUUUAUUGGGUUUAACGGGAGCGUAGAUGGGUUGUUAAGUCAGUUGUGAAAGUUUGCGGCUCAACCGUAAAAUUGCAAUUGAUACUGGCAGUCGUGAGUACAGUUGAGGUAGGCGGAAUUCGUGGUGUAGCGGUGAAAUGCUUAGAUAUCACGAAGAACCCCGAUUGCGAAGGCAGCUUACUAAACUGUGACUGACAUUGAUGCUCGAAAGUGUGGGUAUCAAACAGGAUUAGAUACCCCUGUAGUC
Molecule: ribosomal RNA, 460 nt
Filed under: uncultured bacterium
Lineage: Bacteria
Description: partial 16S ribosomal RNA
Rfam family: Bacterial small subunit ribosomal RNA
Source: RNAcentral